UCCGACUUAACGUCGGCAGUCUGUCUAGAGUGCCCAACUUAAUGCUGGCAACUAAACAUAGGGGUUGCGCUCGUUAUGGGACUUAACCCGACAUCUCACGACACGAGCUGACGACAGCCAUGCAGCACCUGAUACUAGUGUCCCGAAGGCCUACGAUAUCUCUACCGUAUUCACUAGCACUUCAAACCCAGGUAAGGUUUUUCGCGUUGCAUCGAAUUGAACCACAUGCUCCACCGCUUGUGCGGGCCCCCGUCAAUUUCUUUGAGUUUUAAUCUUGCGACCGUACUUCCCAGGCGGGAUACUUAACGCGUUAGCUUCGGCACUGAAGGGGUCAAUACCUCCAACACCAAGUAUCCAUCGUUUACGGUGUGGACUAC
This 377-nucleotide unclassified non-coding RNA is filed under the name uncultured Pseudobdellovibrionaceae bacterium. Its description in RNAcentral is "uncultured Bdellovibrionaceae bacterium contains 16S-23S intergenic spacer region". The record is from RNAcentral. Lineage: Bacteria; Pseudomonadati; Bdellovibrionota; Bdellovibrionia; Bdellovibrionales; Pseudobdellovibrionaceae.